GCGUUAUCCGGAAUCAUUGGGUUUAAAGGGUCCGUAGGCGGUUUAGUAAGUCAGUGGUGAAAGCCCAUCGCUCAACGGUGGAACGGCCAUUGAUACUGCUAGACUUGAAUUAUUAGGAAGUAACUAGAAUAUGUAGUGUAGCGGUGAAAUGCUUAGAGAUUACAUGGAAUACCAAUUGCGAAGGCAGGUUACUACUAAUGGAUUGACGCUGAUGGACGAAAGCGUGGGUAGCGAACAGGAUUAGAUACCCUGGUAGUCCACGCCGUAAACGAUGGAUACUAGCUGUUGGGAGCGAUCUCAGUGGCUAAGCGAAAGUGAUAAGUAUCCCACCUGGGGAGUACGUUCGCAAGAAUGAAACUCAAAGGAAUUGACG
Molecule: ribosomal RNA, 373 nt
Filed under: uncultured Bacteroidota bacterium
Lineage: Bacteria; Pseudomonadati; Bacteroidota
Description: bacterial SSU rRNA
Rfam family: Bacterial small subunit ribosomal RNA
Source: RNAcentral